Molecule: ribosomal RNA, 465 nt
Filed under: uncultured bacterium
Lineage: Bacteria
Description: partial 16S ribosomal RNA
Rfam family: Bacterial small subunit ribosomal RNA
Source: RNAcentral
GACGAACGCUGGCGGCGUGCUUAACACAUGCAAGUCGUACGGUAAGGCCCUUUCGGGGGUACACGAGUGGCGAACGGGUGAGUAACACGUACGUAACCUGCCCACAACUUUGGGAUAACGCUAGGAAACUGGUGCUAAUACUGGAUAUGUGCUCCUGCUGCAUGGUGGGGGUUGGAAAGCUCCGGCGGUUGUGGAUGGACUCGCGGCCUAUCAGCUUGUUGGUGGGGUAGUGGCGUACCAAGGCGGCGACGGGUAGCCGGCCUGAGAGGGUGACCGGCCACAUUGGGACUGAGAUACGGCCCAGACGCCGACGGGAGGGAGCAGGGGGGAAGAUUGCACAAGGGGCGCAAGCCUGAUGCAGCAGCGCCGCGUGCGGGAUGACGGCCUUCGGGUUGAAAACCGCUUGCAGCAGGGACGAAGCUUGUUGUGACGGUACCUGCAGAAGAAGCACCGGCUAACUACGUG